ACCUUGAAGAGAUAUCUGCACUCCCAUGUUCAUUGCAUUAUUCACAAUAGCCAAGAUAUGGAAACUGCCUACAUAUCUAUUAACAGAUGAAAUGAAUAAAGAAAAUGUGCUAUGUAUAUAUAUACAUAAUGGAAUAUUAUUCAGCCUUUAAAAAAUGAAAUUCUACCUUUUGGAAAAACACGGAUGGACUUGGAGAACAUGAUGCUAAGUGAAACAAGCCAGGAACAGAAAGGUAAAUACUGUAUGAUCUUAUAUGAGGAAUCUAAAAUAUCAGACUCAUAAAAGUGGAGAGUGUGAUGCUGGUUACCAGGAUUGGGAGAGGACAAAGCAUGAAGAUAUUGAUGAAAGGGCACAAAGUUUUAGUUAUGCAAGAUGAAUAAAGUCUGGAGAUCUAAUGUACAGCAAUCUGACUAUAGUUAAGAAUACUGCAAUGUAUACUUGAAAUUUACUAAGAGUGUAGAUCUUAAGUUCUAAGUUUUUGUGUUCUCACCACAGAAAGAAUGAAUGAAAGAAAGAAAGAAAGAAAGAAAGAAAAAAGGAAAAUGAUAACCAUGUGAGGUCUUCACCCCCAGUUCUCACCAUCCGGAGUCAUUGCAAAUUCACCACGUGCAGACCGCCCUCUUGGAAAGGAUAUUUUGUGCCUGACUCUGUCUGUGAAGUGUUCUGGAUUACAACGCCUUCUUAUCAGUUUUAUCAAUUAGAAAAACAUGCCUCACCUUUAAUUGUUUUGGAUCAUAUUCAAUUUUUCUUUUUAAAUAAGGAGGAGAGCAUUUCAUUAACUGGCCCAAAGCCAUAGCAAAUGGCUUUCCUGGGAUUUGAAACCACAUAUUUGGAAUCUAGAGUCCAAGCUCUUCUCAUUGCCUUAUAAAGCUUCUCUCUGUUCGGGGCCGUUAGAACAUUGCACACAUGCAGCCUGGAUCUGAAAACUGAAGUGUGGCUGGAGGUGGAGAAAAGCAAAAUCAGAGGUGGCUGAGAGAGAAGACUAUUGCUGAUUUACCCCCUUUCCAUACAACCCCCUGGGAUUUUAUUUGAGCGCUCUGCCUGACCUAAAGUAAGACACUGCACUGCCAGUGAAGGAGUGGUUACAAGUUGUUUCUUUAAAGGAUGAGUUUUCUCUGCUUGCUGCUCAUGAGGGCAUUAUCUCUAUGGAGACCCACACUUGGAACCUGGAGGUUAUGAAGAUAAGUUCUAGAGACUGGGACGUUUAAGAUCAAGGUGCUGGCAGAUUGGGUGUCUGGGUGUCUAGUAAAAAUCUGCUUCCUGCUUCAUAGACAGCUAUCUUCUCGGGGGAGAUUAGGGCACAGACACAUAAGAAUGACCAGGUGAAGACAGGGAGAAGACACAUGUCUACAAGCCAUGGAGAGAAGUUUCAAAAGAAACUAGCCCUGCUAACACCCUGAUCUUGGAUGUUUAGUCUCCAAAAUGGUGAGCAAAGUGACUAAAGUCAUGAAGUGUUUGGAUCCAGUGAAGCAGAGGAAUGAAGAUGAAAACACCAUGAAAAAUGAAGUUACACGCAAUGCUACCCAGAGACAAGACAAUUGCAGACAAUUUUCAAGGCGGGCAUUUCAACCUUUGGAGAAAUCCAGAGGCCCUAUUUUUUCAAUCAGAAAAUAAAAUGGGAAACUUCCGAACUCUUUGUGAAGUCACAGCUUGAGAUUUAUGUUUAACUCAUGUUCCAUUAAAGAACAACUUCUUAAGGAAUUGGGAUCCUACACAUACAGACUUUCCUGAAGAAUUUUGUUCUUGUGAUAAAGGUUAUUGUCCUGAACUGAGGCAUGACUUGUGGAGCAAUGAGAAGGAAGGAGACAGGCACCUAACCCGCCAGAUCAAGGAAGUGGACCUUUGACAUCAAAGGAAGCUGAAUUGUCAUGGCCUGAUAUUCUCGACCUUAUUCUGGAGUAGGGCUUUUGGGCUUGAUAUUUGAAAGUAAGGGAUAAGAUUUUUAUUGAUCUAGUUAUUGGCUUGAAACAAUAUUCUCUUGGCUGUCCCAACAUUACAAGGUGGGUCAUAAGAAGAAUCAGCUCCCCACAACUCCCCUUUCAGUAAAGAAUGAACAGAAUGAAUCUCAAACAAUGAAAUAUCCAUCCUUGGGUCUUAAGCCAGCUGUGUCUCCAUGACACUGAAAUGCAAUUGUUGUAAACUAGGUUUGUGGGCUGAAUGAUUGUAGGAAGCAUAGCCUCCACAUGGAAAUUGGUUUGACCUGAAAGAAAUUUGGGUGAAGCAUACUGUGUCCAUUGGAAUGUUUAGGGACGACAGAUUUAUGAUACACCAGACAAAUCUGUUCUACCGUACUCUUCUCAAUGUGAUACUAUAUACAUCAUACACUAUAAAGCCUGACACAGGGCUCCUUGAUGAACCCAACAAAUUGGUAGGCAGCAGCUCCAUUUAGAGCAUCAGGGUGACAGUGUUUGCAUAUGCGAAUGUUUUUCAAUUCUGCUAUUAAACCAAACUCAUGAAAGUCAAAGUCACCAGUUCUCCCGGAUUUGAGGACAACUGAGUAGAAACAGAGCAGCCAUAGCCAUUAGAUGUUCAGGGUGUAGCAAACAUUGAUUUAAUUUUUACCUCGAGCUUCUGUUAGCUUUAACUUGGAGGCCUUUGUUUUUAGAGAUGAAUCUGAAAGUUUGCUAUCCCUCCCCUAUUCAUUUUAGGGUACUCUCUGUGUAGCCAGGUGCCUAUAAACAUUCCAUUUUCCUCUAAGUAAAUACAUUCUUGUAAACUUUGAAAGGAAGCAAAGAA
Long non-coding RNA from Acinonyx jubatus (cheetah), 2736 nucleotides. RefSeq lists it as uncharacterized. The record is from RefSeq and is a predicted model, not a curated record. Lineage: Eukaryota; Metazoa; Chordata; Mammalia; Carnivora; Felidae. The transcript has 7 exons.